Molecule: long non-coding RNA, 246 nt
Filed under: Mytilus galloprovincialis (Mediterranean mussel)
Lineage: Eukaryota; Metazoa; Mollusca; Bivalvia; Mytilida; Mytilidae
Source: RNAcentral
CAAAAUGAAUAUCCUAAUCCUGAAGAAGUAACGAGCAAUUUGGUAAAAUAAAUUUGUCGUAAUCUUUUACGGUUGCGAAGGAGUAGUGGCCACAAGAAAAACAGUGUUUGGGGAGAUAACUCUUACAACGUAAAGUAUUUUGUUACGCAGUUGUCAUUUUUUAAAGCGUAUAAACUAUACGAUAUCAUAUUCCAAAUAUCUAAGCGACAUCUUUUGAAACAACAAAUACUACGCAAGAAAAAAAUU